Molecule: microRNA precursor, 69 nt
Filed under: Bombyx mori (domestic silkworm)
Lineage: Eukaryota; Metazoa; Arthropoda; Insecta; Lepidoptera; Bombycidae
Description: mir-2774 microRNA precursor family
Rfam family: mir-2774 microRNA precursor family
Source: Rfam by way of RNAcentral
ACAACAUUUAGACCGUCGGUCUACCGAGCAAAAUACCACCCGGUCGGUGGAAGAUCUACCCUCCGUCGU